RNAcentral lists this ribosomal RNA (588 nucleotides) under Exserohilum rostratum. Its description in RNAcentral is "eukaryotic LSU rRNA". The stretch from base 193 to 346 matches the Rfam family "5.8S ribosomal RNA". Lineage: Eukaryota; Fungi; Ascomycota; Dothideomycetes; Pleosporales; Pleosporaceae. The record is from RNAcentral.
CGGAGGGAUCAUUACACAACAAAAAUAUGAGGGUGUGGUUUGCUGGCAACAGCGUCCGCCCCAAGUAUUUUUCACCCAUGUCUUUUGCGCACUUUUUGUUUCCUGGGCGAGUUCGCUCGCCACCAGGACCCAACCAUAAACCUUUUUUUAUGCAGUUGCAAUCAGCGUCAGUAUAAUAAUUCAAUUUAUUAAAACUUUCAACAACGGAUCUCUUGGUUCUGGCAUCGAUGAAGAACGCAGCGAAAUGCGAUACGUAGUGUGAAUUGCAGAAUUCAGUGAAUCAUCGAAUCUUUGAACGCACAUUGCGCCCUUUGGUAUUCCAAAGGGCAUGCCUGUUCGAGCGUCAUUUGUACCCUCAAGCUUUGCUUGGUGUUGGGCGUCUUUUUGUCUCUCCCCUUGUUGGGGGAGACUCGCCUUAAAACGAUUGGCAGCCGACCUACUGGUUUUCGGAGCGCAGCACAAAUUUGCGCCUUCCAAUCCACGGGGCGGCAUCCAGCAAGCCUUUGUUUUCUAUAACAAAUCCACAUUUUGACCUCGGAUCAGGUAGGGAUACCCGCUGAACUUAAGCAUAUCAAUAAGCCGGAGGAA